This 260-nucleotide unclassified non-coding RNA is filed under the name Sipha flava (yellow sugarcane aphid). Its description in RNAcentral is "uncharacterized LOC112692072, transcript variant X2". The record is from RNAcentral. Lineage: Eukaryota; Metazoa; Arthropoda; Insecta; Hemiptera; Aphididae.
UAUAACACAGUUAUAUAUGUAUGAUUUUAUACAAGUAUAUUUAAAUGGCGACAUCAGGAACAGGCCAGAUAAGACCAUAGCCCUACAGUUGAGCAAAGACCAAUUAUCAGAAGAAGCUUAAGAGUGUAGGAAUAAGAACUACAAAUAUUACAAAGAACACCGCACUAGGAAGAAUUCACGACUAAAUACAAAUGAGGACCUUAUGCAUCAUCUUCUUGUCUUCUAACCCCUAUAUAUCAAGUUUGAAAAACCUACCGAAA